GUGCCAGCAGCCGCGGUAAUACGUAGGUGGCAAGCGUUGUCCGGAAUUAUUGGGCGUAAAGCGCGCGCAGGCGGGAUAACAAGUCUGUUGUAAAAGAUCGGAGCUUAACUCCGUUAUGCGAUGGAAACUGUUAUUCUUGAGUGUCGGAGAGGAAAGUGGAAUUCCCAGUGUAGCGGUGAAAUGCGUAGAGAUUGGGAGGAACACCAGUGGCGAAGGCGGCUUUCUGGACGAUGUCUGACGCUGAGGCGCGAAAGCCAGGGUAGUGAACGGGAUUAGAUACCCCGGUAAUCCUGGCGGUAAACGAUGGGUACUAGGUGUAGGAGGUAUCGACCCCUUCUGUGCCGGAGUUAACGCAAUAAGUACCCCGCCUGGGGAGUACGGCCGCAAGGUUGAA
RNAcentral lists this ribosomal RNA (394 nucleotides) under uncultured bacterium. Its description in RNAcentral is "bacterial SSU rRNA". It matches the Rfam family "Bacterial small subunit ribosomal RNA", at positions 505 to 898 of the family's 1533-position model. The record is from RNAcentral.